GCGCUUGCUUUGGCAGCACAUAAACUGAAAUAGGAAGGAUGCAGAGGUCAGCACGGCCCUGCCACAGGGAUGACAUGCAGAUUUGUGAAGCAUUUAAAAAAAAA
RNAcentral lists this small nuclear RNA (104 nucleotides) under Mustela putorius furo (domestic ferret). The record is from RNAcentral. Lineage: Eukaryota; Metazoa; Chordata; Mammalia; Carnivora; Mustelidae.